AACGCGAAGAACCUUACCUGGGCUCGAAAUGCUAUGGACAGUCUGUGAAAGCAGAUCUUCCCCUUAAAAGGACCGUAGUAUAGGUGCUGCAUGGCUGUCGUCAGCUCGUGUCGUGAGAUGUUGGGUUAAGUCCCGCAACGAGCGCAACCCUUGUCCUGUGUUACUCACCGAAAGGAAGACUCGCAGGAGACCGCCAGCGAUAAGCUGGAGGAAGGUGGGGAUGACGUCAAGUCCUCAUGGCCUUUAUGUCCAGGGCUACACACGUGCUACAAUGGGCGGUACAAAGCGCUGCUAAGCCGCAAGGUGGAGCCAAUCGCAAAAAGCCGCUCUCAGUUCGGAUUGCAGGCUGCAACUCGCCUGCAUGAAGCUGGAAUCGCUAGUAAUGCUAUAUCAGAACGAUAGCGUGAAUACGUUCCCGGGCCUUGUACACACCGGCUAC
This 439-nucleotide ribosomal RNA is filed under the name uncultured bacterium. RNAcentral describes it as "bacterial SSU rRNA". It matches the Rfam family "Bacterial small subunit ribosomal RNA", at positions 958 to 1397 of the family's 1533-position model. The record is from RNAcentral.